CUUAGGCAAAAUUGAGCGUCUCGGUGGAUUGAAACCCGAAAGGGCGAUCCAGGCAAAAGUUAGAGACAUAAAACAGAAAAAUUAUCUCGAUAAAUUGAGUACCCCACUUUGGGGCAAUUUAUGCAAAAACUAGGGAUUGUGGAAAGUAACUGCAUCUUGUGUAUCUUUAGUCUUGAAGACAUUCUUGAGCACAACAUUUGGUUCUAUUUCAUCUUCAACCAAAGCCAAGAGCACAACGGAUAUUGAAGG
This 249-nucleotide long non-coding RNA is filed under the name Lathyrus oleraceus (garden pea). RNAcentral's name for it is "Pisum sativum (pea) long non-coding RNA (PSAT_LNC009221)". The record is from RNAcentral. Lineage: Eukaryota; Viridiplantae; Streptophyta; Magnoliopsida; Fabales; Fabaceae.